This 664-nucleotide ribosomal RNA is filed under the name Stenotrophomonas sp. RNAcentral's name for it is "bacterial SSU rRNA". It matches the Rfam family "Bacterial small subunit ribosomal RNA", at positions 153 to 795 of the family's 1533-position model. Lineage: Bacteria; Pseudomonadati; Pseudomonadota; Gammaproteobacteria; Lysobacterales; Lysobacteraceae. The record is from RNAcentral.
GAAACUUACGCUAAUACCGCAUACGACCUUCGGGUGAAAGCAGGGGACCUUCGGGCCUCUUGCGCGGAUCAGAUGAGCCCAGAUGUCGGAUUAGCUAGUAGGCGGGGUAAAGGCCCACCAAGGCGACGAUCCCUAGCUGGUCUGAGAGGAUGACCAGCCACACUGGAACUGAGACACGGUCCAGACUCCUACGGGAGGCAGCAGUGGGGAAUAUUGCACAAUGGGCGCAAGCCUGAUCCAGCCAUACCGCGUGGGUGAAGAAGGCCUUCGGGUUGUAAAGCACUUUCAGCUGAGGAAAGAAAAGCAGUCGAGCUUAAUACCCGGUUCAUCAAUUGACGGUACUCGCAAAGAAGAAGCACCGGCUAACUCCGUGCCAGCAGCCGCGGUAAUACGAAGGGUGCAAGCGUUAAUCGGAAUUACUGGGCGUAAAGCGCACGCAGGCGGUUUGUUUAAGUCAGAUGUGAAAGCCCCGGGCUCAACCUGGGAACUGCAGUGGAAACUGGGCAAGCUAGAGUCUCGUAGAGGGGAGUAGAAUUCCAGGUGUAGCAGUGAAAUGCGUAGAGAUCGGGAGGAACAUCCAGUGGCGAAGGCAGCCACCUGGACCAACACUGACACUCAGGCACGAAAGCGUGGGGAGCAAACAGGAUUAGAUACCCUGGUAGUC